UCACAUUUGUCUCCCUGUGACCUGCAGGUGCUAUGAGGUCCAUAAGAAGGAUGUCAGGUCUCCCCAGAAGGCGGAAAAUGGUGAGUGUGUGGGGCAGGUCUGGUCAGGUGGGAAGUAGGCUUGUUACAAGUGGUGAACCAGCUGUGGCUGGCCUCUGGCCUCCCACUGUCAUCUCUAUAGUCAGCCAAGAGUACCUGAGUCAGAUGCUGCUUUAGCUCAGCCCUUGAUGGCCAUGGUAUGGGCUGGUGCAGAUGGGUUCCCAGUGUACUGCCUGGUCUGCAGCCACUUUGGCAGAACCCUCUCUGCCCAGCUAGACCCCAGCCCUAAGUACUCAGUGUGAAGUAAAGGCAGCGGGUCUCAGGGGAUCCUGCCUUAAGUGUGGGGCUCCUGGGUAGAAGAUGCUGGUCUGAGGGAUCUGUGUUUCUUCUCUCAAGGAGUCACCCUCCUUUCCCCCUCCUAUGCUCUACCAGGGCUUUUGGUACAUUCUUAAUAUUCCUGUCCUUUUCUCAUAUUUACAGAUCUGACUCUCCCUCCAAGUUCACAGCCUUUUCAUCUCUUUUUGUGAAUUUCCCAUAUGAUGAAAGGAGAGAACAGUCACCUGGAACUUCACUGUUAAGAGAACUUGUGCCUGCCUCUCUCUCUCUCUCUCUCUUUUUUUUUUCCUUCCCCAGGAAUUGAUACCUUAUCAAAUUGUGGAGAGGUUUCCUUUGGACCCCUGACAGGGUUCCAUGUUUUCAACCACUGUAUUGCCCCGCUUGUGGCUGUGUCAAGUCCUGUAGGCACCCUGUGUCCUACAGGAAGCAGGCAAUUUUAGUCCCUGGGUCAGCUCCUUCUAGAGGACAUUGUGAAGUGUGUCAUUUAGCUUGUGAGGGGAGUAGCUGGAGGCCCUUAUGCUGAGGAGUCUCUUGGAAUAGGCCUCAUCUAGACAGCUGCCUCCUAGGGACACUGUCUCCCCCAAGCCCUGUUCCCAUUCCUUGGAGACAGGUAGACAGUUAGCCUGUGGAUGCUGGUGCUGAGGGGCCAGGUCACAGUGAUUCCUGCUCUUGCAUUCUCUCACAGUUGUGAAGGAGGAAAACUCUCCCAGAGCAUAAGGACCACCAACCCCAGUGCAGUGCUGUGCAAACCUGAUAAGACUUGUAGCCUGGAGUCAUGGUCAGGUCUCCUGGGAGGGUGAUCAUGGAGUGUUUCAGUGAGCAAGACCAGGUGUGAGAUGUCCAGCUGGCAGGGACCUUACCUGCCCCUUGAGCCUGACACAACUGUGCUCCCUUAGCACCAGCCCUUUC
This 1283-nucleotide long non-coding RNA is filed under the name Marmota monax (woodchuck). Lineage: Eukaryota; Metazoa; Chordata; Mammalia; Rodentia; Sciuridae. The record is from RNAcentral.